ACAACAGUAGCUGCAAUUGUUUAAGCUGUUUUCUAGUGACAUUUAUUUGGAUUCAUCCAUAACAAUGAGCUAAUGUUAUGUGAGGCGCGAUUUCGUCAAGAAACUUGUUCAGAGGAGCUAGCCAACACAAUCACUUCACAUUUUAACUGGAAAGACUGCAAACUACAGUAGCUGCACUUUAUUUCGUUUUAACUUUUUUCAAUUGCCAUUUUUUUUGUGAUGCCAGCUGAUUCAUGAUUUCGACUGGCUGAGAAACGCUGCCUGCCUGUCAAUCUCGUCCCGACUCGUUCAUUACUAUGGGACAGCUGUAGAUCGAAUUUGAAUAUUGAAACGAUAUUGCAAAUAUCGGAGAGACAGACAGCAAGGUUAAUACAAAUCUCUGCUGUUGGAAACUAAAUGUUAUUCUAAAAAAAAUGUGAGAUAAUGUCUAGAUGCUUUUUAUAGUGGAGAUCAAGUUUAUAAUUUGCCUGGCUGGGUUGAUGAGACAGUGGAUUGCGCAGUCAAAUGGAACAGAGUAAAUAGCCAUAUUAACGUCAUAGAUUUAGCUCUUGGUAGCUUGUGGAAUAGACACCGGCUGGGAUGCGCUUUUAACCAGCAUUCAGGGUACAGGAUUAGACCCACCCGUUGUAUAAAACAGACCAACAGACCAACACAUCUUCACACGAAUGUCCACGGUGGGUCUCUGUAAAUUAUGCGAUUAUAUUGGAGACAGUUUAAUAGCGGUGACUGUCAUCAAUUCAUUUACUCUUAUAGUAUUUCUAAGUAGAAUCCAUAUCAGCCAGGGAAACUUUGUGAUAGAACAUUCAGAUUUGUCUGCCUGACUGUGGGACUCUAUACCUGAAUUAUUAGGAUUUUUUUGUGAUCACAACAAAACUAGGUAUUUUGAUCAAAUAUAGAUAUAAUAAAUGUUUAUCUUUCAAAAUAUGGGCCUGGCUGAGAAUAUAACAUUAAGUUUUCUGCCUGAGUGUGGCGCUGUUUACCACAUUUUUUAAAUCAUUUUGUGACUGUAACAAAGCUACUUUUACUCAACUAGAGAUGAAAAUAAAUAGUGUUUCUUUAAAAAGAUGGGCCUGGCUAACAUGGACUGUUUCCUCACCUUAUUCUCCUUGUGGUUAUCCAUGGUUGUUGGUUAUUUGCCAGGUAAAAGUAAUUAUUUUGUAUGUUUUUGCUGGACAUCUAGAGAAUAUUAAUUUAUUAUAAUAAUAAACUACUUUAUUCUGCUAACUGCAUACAAGUACAUUUCCCUGUUAUAGGAAUGGAAUGGAGUUGUAGAGUUGUAAUUUAGAGUUAGAAGAAGUGAAAACUAUACAAGGACUGAAGCAAUAGACUCCUCACUCAACUAGAUAUUGAAAUAAAUUGUGUUUCUUUGAAAAGAUGGGCUUGGCUGAUAUAAAAAUACAUUAAGGGGAAAGGAUCCAAUGACACAGAGGCUGAUUAUCUUUCUGCACAUCUCUUUAUUUACAAUGCUGGCUGCCAUUGUUAACACAAUUGCAGGACAUUAAAUGCUACCUGAAUUUACUAAAAAAAGUAACAUAAGUAGGCCUACAGUAUCACAGCGAGGUCAAACAGGUGUGUGUGUGUGUGUUAGUCAGACUGUCCAGUGUCCACAACAACACUACUGAUUAUUCUCUACCCCCAGUGUAUGUGGUGUACUAUGGUUUUAGGCAUGCGCUCACAAACCCUCAUCUUUUCUCUUUCUCUGUCUCUCCUUCCGGAGGACCUGAGGCUCUUGGACUGCGACUGAGGACACCCCAGCCUGACACCUGAAUGUGCCUGGCCCAAUCCCACCUUGCCCUCCUCUACCAGCCUGUGGCUACCUCCACUGAUUCUUUCUCCCCCUCAAGUCACUAACCUACUCCCCACACACCUAGAAACUUGUAUUUCAUUACUUACCAUAUGACUUUAUGAAAGGCCAUCGGUUCAUGGAGUCUUAAAGUUAAAUCAAAUACAGAUUCGUGCAAACUGGAAGUGUGACUUCUUUCCCCAAUGAUUUCUGAAGGCUGAGCCAUUACAGAACCACCCACCAUCAACGGACCAAGCAGCGUGGGAGAAAGGAGUCAUGGACCUGUGAGGAAAUCCUGGAUGGGGCAGGACCGUGGACAAGGCCGGGAGAAUACCGCCGCCUGCCGGAGGAGAUAGAGGCAGCGAGGGCAGAACGGCGUUUCUGGGAGGAUCGGCUGGCACGGGAAGUGCCAUGCUAGAGUGGGCAUCGAGCCAGGACGGGUUGUGCAGGCCGUGCGCUCCAGACCUCCAGUGCGUCUC
Molecule: non-coding RNA, 2262 nt
Organism: Salmo salar (Atlantic salmon)
Lineage: Eukaryota; Metazoa; Chordata; Actinopteri; Salmoniformes; Salmonidae
Source: RefSeq, a predicted model, not a curated record